This is a long non-coding RNA of Ipomoea nil (Japanese morning glory), 540 nucleotides long. RefSeq lists it as uncharacterized. The record is from RefSeq and is a predicted model, not a curated record. Lineage: Eukaryota; Viridiplantae; Streptophyta; Magnoliopsida; Solanales; Convolvulaceae. The transcript has 4 exons.
UGGGUCUAAGAUUAAGUUAAGUGACUUCUGGCUUUAUUUACAAGGAUUUCACAUUCUUGAUUCUACCGCUUCAUAUUAUGCUGCUAUGCUUAGGUGGUAAAAUCUAUGUUGCAUUAGGGUGUAUUCAGUAUGUUCAAUAAAAUUGGUCUUCAUUGCUUGCUUUUAUUACAUUCUGUUUUCUGAUUAUCCCUUUUUCUUUGGAUUCAGGAGGUUUCCCAACGCUUAGCAGCAAAUGGGAGUGGUGUUCAAGGAGAUUACAAGCUUCUUCCUAGUGGCCCCAGCAAUGCAACUCAAAAUGACACCAAGGCUUCUGAAAAUAAGGAGGUCUCUAUAAUAGAAAAUGUUUGUUGGACCGAAUUUGGACUUCUUUGCUUUGUUUGGGUUGCAUUUCUCACUCUGCAGAUCAUCAAGAAUUAUACAGCAACAGGUUUUUCUGCUCAAUAGGUUUGUUCGCUUUGUGAGCACUCCGGAGAUCUUGGAACGGUUGCACACUAUAGAAUCUGAGAUUAUACAGAUUGAAGAAGCAAUCACCAUACAGGG